This 211-nucleotide unclassified non-coding RNA is filed under the name plant metagenome. RNAcentral describes it as "partial contains small subunit ribosomal RNA, internal transcribed spacer 1, and 5.8S ribosomal RNA". The record is from RNAcentral.
UUUCCGUAGGUGAACCUGCGGAAGGAUCAUUCAUAAUAAAGUGUUCUAUGGCACUUUUUAAAAAUCCAUAUCCACCUUGUGUGCAAUGUUAGAUCUCGUCAAUCUUGGCGAGAUUUUUAUACAUCAACUCAUUUUUUAACUAAUUUGUCUGAAAAAUAUUAUGAAUACUUAAUUCAAAAUACAACUUUCAACAACGGAUCUCUUGGCUCUC